RNAcentral lists this long non-coding RNA (2332 nucleotides) under Homalodisca vitripennis (glassy-winged sharpshooter). RNAcentral's name for it is "uncharacterized LOC124363468". Lineage: Eukaryota; Metazoa; Arthropoda; Insecta; Hemiptera; Cicadellidae. The record is from RNAcentral.
UGAUAGCUUCUUGCUCUAUCUAUUCCGCAGGGAAUACCAGCGUUUCACACGCCCUCAUCUGCAUUCUGCAACAUGGACUAAAAUGUUGCCAUUGUAACUUCCAAAAAAGAUGCCGCCAAACGCGGAGGAAUGGUUGGCUGUACGAGAGGGAUUUAAGGAAAACAUCCCACAUUGCGUUGUUUUUUGGGAUAGAAAGCACAUCGUUAUUCAAGUACCAUUUCAUAGUAGUUUCGAGUAUUUUAACUACAAGAAGUCUUUCAAUAUUGUUUUGCUGGCAUUAGUCAAUAGUAAUUAUCAGUAGGUACAUGUUUGCUGAAAUGGAGCCAAGGAGGAAUCAGUGAUGGUGUUUUCAUGGACAGUUUAUUGUGAAAAAAUGUGUGAUUGUUAAAUGAAUUUACCUCCAGCGUCCCCAUUCAACCAAGCCUGUACCGUAUGUAAUUUGAGAAGAUUGCAAGUUUGCCCUCAGUUGCACAAUCAUUAAGUCUUAUCCUGGAAACCACGAAGCUGGUUCAAGAACGGAUUUUUAAUAGGAGGCUGUCCUGGAAAAGUAAAAUCGUUUGACAUUUCAGUCAUAUUCAACUGUGCAUGCACUCAGCAAACAAACAAACACACUUCACCACAUCACCUGCUGCGGACACGAGCGUACCAGACAGUGUGGAUGAUGUAUUCGUGCAUGCUAGCCUAGCCACUCGGCACACCAACCGAAACAAUUGGAGCGUUAGCGAGCCGAGCCAUCUCGAGCGGCGGCGAAACAACCUUCAAAACUCUCACGUUCGUCUUUGUUCGUCAGGCUCGGCGAGCCUUAAAAUUAUGUGACGAACAAGAUAUUUAAUGUAGAGAUUGGAUAUAUUACAAUACAUUUUGUAUUAAAAUAAACCAUAAUUUGUUUGGUGAUAAAACUAUUUAAACUUGUGUAUAAUAAAAAGCUUAAAUUUAGAAACACAAUACAGAAAUAGAAUUUUCAGCUAGAUGUAACUAUAAUAAAAUUUUACAUAUGAUAAAAUAUUUAGGCUACUAUAAAACAUGUUACAAAAAUCGAUAUAAGAAUUCAAGUAUUUGAAUUUCUAUUGAAAUAGGCCUAAACGCUCUCAAUUAAUAUUAAUUACUUAUAGUAGUAAAAGACAUUGUUUUGUCAAAGCCAACGAGAUUAAUAUCAACAAAGCAUGGGGGAAAUUAGUUCUAAUUGUUAAAAAUAAAUUAAAAGACACACACAAUUAAAUUAUCAUAAAGUAAAAUACUGAGGAAAGUAGUUAUAAGUAAUUUCAAAAUGUUUUGAAGCAGCCUUUGUAUACUACAAACAAUACAAGUAGUAGUUUUGGUUAUACCAAUAAAACUAGAUUACCGUAGUCUGUCAGAAAAAAUGUUUAUACAAGUUUAUAUAGCUACCAAACACAACAUAAUAUUAAGUAAUUAUGAAAAAUACCUUAACUUUGAAAGUUUCUUUGGUAGUUUAUCAGAUAAGGUUAAGCAGUUAGCCUCACAUCUCUUUUUUAUACCUCGAAUGGCAUUUUUAAAUGUUUAGCAAGAUAAAAUAUUGUACCGGUAUUCAUUUUAGUUCUUUUAGUCAAAAUUUAGUUAAUUCUUGUACUUUUUGGAUACAUUUAUUUUACUCAUUGUAGCACAAGUUAUUCAUGAAUUUUCUAAAGAUAAAGUAAUAAAUAAAAAUGAAAAUUUGGAAUUUAUAUAAUAUACAUGUAAAUGUUAGCAUUCAAUAGUCAACAAUAUUGUAAAAUUGUAAAUAAGGAGUAUUCUUAAUAAUUUAUAGACAGCUGAUCUUAAUUAAUCAUAAAUGGCCUACCAUGACUCCUCUUUGUAUUGUACCCAAUAUACCCAUGUAUAUAUUAGCAACAUUUAAUUUAUUUACAAUCUGUUCGAUUUGAGAAGAACAAUAAGUAAAUAUUAUAUACAGAAGUAUUGACAAUUAAAAUUGUGAUAUAAAUAUGAAUCAAUGUGCCAGUUACCAUACGUGGUGUGGGUUAACCAGGCUUUUUGGAAAAUUAUGACAACAGUUGGAAUAUGUUUAAUCUUAAACUAUUCUCCCAAGCCACAGUUAAAGAGUGAGGUAAAAGAAAGCCUAAAGCUGCCUGAAUUUUCAAGAUUUAAACAAACCAGGUUUUUUAAAAUUGUAUCCUUGCUGUGUUAAGAUGUUUUGAAUCCUGUUUUUACAAGAAAUAACCCCUAAAUAAGUGUAUUAAACCUGUUUGUGUUAGUAAGCUUUGGCAAUGAACAGAAUUCAUACUAAACGGGUAAAAAAUUUCAAGGACAUCAAGCUAAAAGUGAAUAUUUACUAAGCCUUAAAAGUAUAUAUUUAAGAAGCAUUUCUGCUAAAGCU